GAUGAACGCUAGCGGCAGGCCUAACACAUGCAAGUCGAGGGGCAGCACGUCUUCGGAUGGUGGCGACCGGCGCACGGGUGCGUAACGCGUAUGCAACCUACCUCUUACAGUGGGAUAGCCCAGAGAAAUUUGGAUUAAUACCGCAUAGUAUACAGAUUCAGCAUUGGGACUGUAUUAAACAUUUAUGGGUAAGAGAUGGGCAUGCGUUCUAUUAGUUAGUUGGAGUGGUAACGGCACCCCAAGACAGCGAUAGAUAGGGGCCCUGAGAGGGGGAUCCCCCACACUGGUACUGAGACACGGACCAGACUCCUACGGGAGGCAGCAGUGAGGAAUAUUGGACAAUGGGCGAGAGCCUGAUCCAGCCAUGCCGCGUGCAGGAAGACGGCCCUAUGGGUUGUAAAGCUCUUUUACCAGGGAUGAUAAUGACAGUACCUGGAGAAUAAGCUCCGGCUAACUCCGUGCCAGCAGCCGCGGU
RNAcentral lists this ribosomal RNA (475 nucleotides) under uncultured bacterium. RNAcentral's name for it is "bacterial SSU rRNA". It matches the Rfam family "Bacterial small subunit ribosomal RNA", at positions 28 to 521 of the family's 1533-position model. The record is from RNAcentral.